UACGAAGGGGGCUAGCGUUGUUCGGAAUUACUGGGCGUAAAGCGCACGUAGGCGGAUUUGUAAGUCAGGGGUGAAAUCCCGGGGCUCAACCUCGGAACUGCCCUUGAUACUGCAAAUCUCGAGUCCGGAAGAGGUGAGUGGAAUUCCUAGUGUAGAGGUGAAAUUCGUAGAUAUUAGGAAGAACACCAGUGGCGAAGGCGGCUCACUGGUCCGGUACUGACGCUGAGGUGCGAAAGCGUGGGGAGCGAACAGG
RNAcentral lists this ribosomal RNA (253 nucleotides) under uncultured bacterium. RNAcentral's name for it is "partial 16S ribosomal RNA". It matches the Rfam family "Bacterial small subunit ribosomal RNA", at positions 524 to 776 of the family's 1533-position model. The record is from RNAcentral.